AAGGGCACCACAAGAACGCGUGGAGCAUGUGGCUUAAUUUGACUCAACGCGGGAAAUCUUACCGGGUCCGGACACACUGAGGAUUGACAGGCAAUAUUAUAAUUUUUUAAUUGAAAUAAAUUUUUAUUAAUUUAUUUUUUUUAUUUUUUAUAUGUUAAAUAUGCUAGUCCCUUCAUGAUUAUGUGAUAGGUGGUGCAUGGCCGUUCUUAGUUCGUGGAGUGAUCUGUCUGCUUAAUUGCGUUUCACUAUUGGGCUUAUAUAAUUACGUAUGUUGUUAACGCUUUGACCCCUUUCUACGGAUUGUGCGUGUCUUUGUCUCGUUUAACUCAUACAAUUAAGCCCUGAAAGCAACGAACGUGACCGCAACCUCUUGUUGCUCUCAUAUUACCUUAUACUGCAUAAUAUUUGAAUAAUUUAUUUUAUUUUUUUUUAUGUUUAAGAGAGCUUUCUAAACUAGAGGGACCGCUGUUACUUUCUUAAACCAGAGGAAGGUUGCGGCAAUAACAGGUCUGUGAUGCCCUUAGAUGUUCCGGGCUGCACACGUGCUACAAUGAUUAUUGCAGUGAGCAUCUCAUUUUUACACAUCGCAUGCGCGAGUCCAUUUAUUCAGAUAUCUUUCAUUUACUUUCGGGUGAAUGUAGUGUUUGCUUUAAAUGUGUAUCUCUGCGCGCGAUAAAGCCUGCUUCGAAAGUAAGUGGGUAAUCAAUUAGAAGUAAUGAUUUCCUUUUUUUUUCUGCACACAUAUAUAUGGCACUUAUACCCGGGUAACCUUGUUGUUACUUUUGUGCGUAUACGUGAUAAUCUUUACCGAUUAUACUACCAUAUGUGCAAUUGUCAAUUCAUGGUGGGGACAGACCAUUGUUAAUUGUUGGUCUCGGUCUUAACUAGGAAUGCCUUGUACGGAUCUUUGGUUCAACAAACCAUCCGGAAUACGUCCCUGCCCUUUGUACACACCGCCCGUC
This 962-nucleotide ribosomal RNA is filed under the name Cassidulinoides sp. Its description in RNAcentral is "partial small subunit ribosomal RNA". It matches the Rfam family "Eukaryotic small subunit ribosomal RNA", at positions 1160 to 1677 of the family's 1831-position model. Lineage: Eukaryota; Foraminifera; Rotaliida; Cassidulinidae. The record is from RNAcentral.